Molecule: long non-coding RNA, 490 nt
Organism: Schistocerca serialis cubense
Lineage: Eukaryota; Metazoa; Arthropoda; Insecta; Orthoptera; Acrididae
Exons: 4
Source: RefSeq, a predicted model, not a curated record
GAUGUCGAGAAUCCCCGGGAUUUGGCCGAGUGUCCAUAUAAUGAGAAGACAUACCGCGAAGACCAACGCAUAGAUGGAACUUAUUUUGAGUGCAAGAAAUGCGUCUGCAAAGAGGGAUUUGACGGAACCUUGGAUGGACCUUGGUGCAAGAGACAGACGUGUGAGUACUCCCUGGCUCACAGGGCUUCUGAACUAAGGGGAUGUGCGCCGGUAUUCCGUGAGGGCGAUAACUGUUGUGCUUCCAGAUUUCACUGUCCUUCAACCGAUGACAGCGUGGUGAGACAUUCGGAGACUACAACAGAGAAUGAAGGUGGUCAGUGCUCUUUCGGAGACCACAGACUGAACACUGGCGAUGAGCUUCUGGUCGGCAUCGACGGCUGCGUCAAAUGCAGAUGCGACGUUCCUCCAUUCAUAACUUGUACGCACAGAGCAGAUCCUGCAUGCGAGUGAUGUAAAUGAGAUCAUGCAUUACAUACAAAUUUCAGAGGGA